CUCUCGUUAGUCUAGUGGCUAGGAUUCCUGGUUUUCGACCAGGCUGCCCAGGUUCACUUCCUGAGCAGAGA
RNAcentral lists this transfer RNA (71 nucleotides) under Sus scrofa (pig). It matches the Rfam family "tRNA". From Rfam's summary of the family: Transfer RNA (tRNA) molecules are approximately 80 nucleotides in length. The record is from Rfam by way of RNAcentral. Lineage: Eukaryota; Metazoa; Chordata; Mammalia; Artiodactyla; Suidae.